This 503-nucleotide ribosomal RNA is filed under the name uncultured Veillonellaceae bacterium. Its description in RNAcentral is "bacterial SSU rRNA". It matches the Rfam family "Bacterial small subunit ribosomal RNA", at positions 364 to 858 of the family's 1533-position model. Lineage: Bacteria; Bacillati; Bacillota; Negativicutes; Veillonellales; Veillonellaceae. The record is from RNAcentral.
UUCCGCAAUGGACGAAAGUCUGACGGAGCAACGCCGCGUGAGUGAUGACGGCCUUCGGGUUGUAAAGCUCUGUUAAUCGGGACGAAAGGCCUUCUUGCGAACAGUUAGAAGGAUUGACGGUACCGGAAUAGAAAGCCACGGCUAACUACGUGCCAGCAGCCGCGGUAAUACGUAGGUGGCAAGCGUUGUCCGGAAUUAUUGGGCGUAAAGCGCGCGCAGGCGGAUCAGUCAGUCUGUCUUAAAAGUUCGGGGCUUAACCCCGUGAUGGGAUGGAAACUGCUGAUCUAGAGUAUCGGAGAGGAAAGUGGAAUUCCUAGUGUAGCGGUGAAAUGCGUAGAUAUUAGGAAGAACACCAGUGGCGAAGGCGACUUUCUGGACGAAAACUGACGCUGAGGCGCGAAAGCCAGGGGAGCGAACGGGAUUAGAUACCCCGGUAGUCCUGGCCGUAAACGAUGGGUACUAGGUGUAGGAGGUAUCGACCCCUUCUGUGCCGGAGUUAACGC